This 87-nucleotide transfer RNA is filed under the name Acidobacteriota bacterium. RNAcentral describes it as "Acidobacteria bacterium (freshwater metagenome) tRNA-Leu". It matches the Rfam family "tRNA". Rfam says of the family: Transfer RNA (tRNA) molecules are approximately 80 nucleotides in length. RNAcentral also lists the same sequence under 1 other name. Lineage: Bacteria; Pseudomonadati; Acidobacteriota. The record is from RNAcentral.
GCGGAUAUGGCGGAAUUGGUAGACGCGCUAGAUUCAGGUUCUAGUGCCCGCAAGGGCAUGGGGGUUCGAGUCCCUCUAUCCGCACCA